CUGUUUGCUGUUGGAGCAUCAUCAAGAUUCACAAUUUUAGGGUUCUUUUUUGAUUGAGCCUUUUUAUGAUUGAGAAUCCUGAUGAUGCUGCAGUGGCAAUAAG
Gossypium raimondii (Peruvian cotton) is the source of this 103-nucleotide non-coding RNA. Lineage: Eukaryota; Viridiplantae; Streptophyta; Magnoliopsida; Malvales; Malvaceae. The record is from Rfam.